GACGAACGCUGGCGGCGUGCUUAACACAUGCAAGUGGAGCGACGAACUGGGCUUCGGCCCAGGGCAGAGCCGCGAACGGGUGAGUAACACGUGGGUAACCCACCCCGAUGACCGGGACAACCCGAGGAAACUCGGGCUAAUACCGGAUGAGCUCGCACCCCACAAGGGGUUCGAGGAAAGAUAGCUUCGGCCUUCGCAUCGGGACGGGCCCGCGGCCCAUUAGCUUGUUGGUGGGGUAACGGCCCACCAAGGCCGCGAUGGGUAGCUGGUCUGAGAG
RNAcentral lists this ribosomal RNA (277 nucleotides) under uncultured bacterium. RNAcentral's name for it is "partial 16S ribosomal RNA". It matches the Rfam family "Bacterial small subunit ribosomal RNA", at positions 28 to 298 of the family's 1533-position model. The record is from RNAcentral.